CGUUACUGACGCUGAGGAGCGAAAGCGUGGGGAGCGAACAGGAUUAGAUACCCUGGUAGUCCACGCCGUAAACGUUGGGAACUAGAUGUGGGGACCUUUCCACGGUCUCCGUGUCGCAGCUAACGCAUUAAGUUCCCCGCCUGGGGAGUACGGCCGCAAGGCUAAAACUCAAAGGAAUUGACGGGGGCCCGCACAAGCGGCGGAGCAUGCGGAUUAAUUCGAUGCAACGCGAAGAACCUUACCAAGACUUGACAUAUACCGGAAACUUCCAGAAAUGGUUGCCCCGCAAGGUCGGUAUACAGGUGGUGCAUGGUUGUCGUCAGCUCGUGUCGUGAGAUGUUGGGUUAAGUCCCGCAACGAGCGCAACCCUCGUUCUAUGUUGCCAGCACGUCAUGGUGGGAACUCAUAGGAGACUGCCGGGGUCAACUCGGAGGAAGGUGGGGAUGACGUCAAAUCAUCAUGCCCCUUAUGUCUUGGGCUUCACGCAUGCUACAAUGGCCGGUACAAAGGGCUGCGAUACCGUAAGGUGGAGCGAAUCCCAAAAAGCCGGUCUCAGUUCGGAUUGAGGUCUGCAACUCGACCUCAUGAAGUCGGAGUCGCUAGUAAUCGCAGAUCAGCAACGCUGCGGUGAAUACGUUCCCGGGCCU
This 647-nucleotide ribosomal RNA is filed under the name uncultured bacterium. RNAcentral describes it as "bacterial SSU rRNA". It matches the Rfam family "Bacterial small subunit ribosomal RNA", at positions 735 to 1381 of the family's 1533-position model. The record is from RNAcentral.